ACCCAAGACUGAAGCCCAUCAGAAGCCAGAAAAAGUAGGAGGCAGUUGAUAUGACUGAAUCAUCUCUGCUGGCUAGGACACUUUGGUCUCUGAGAUCAGCAGAGGCAGUGGUUUCUCUGCUCUCUGCUUCAGAAAUAUUUCUGCUUCUCUCCUCAUGGUCAGAGAGAUCUUCAGAGUACUUGAGAAAUUGUUCCAAUUUGAGCCCAUCAAAUAAGCAGCAGCACUGGUUUGGAAAAGAAUCCCAAUUGAAGGCUUGAGAAGAUUUACUCUCCAAAGGUCAUUUUGAAAGCUGUCCUUAAGGCUUGGUUGGGUGUGCUUUGCUUCCAAGCUGAGCUAUGGAUGAACUAUCCUGCCAGCAGUCCUGGAUUUGGGAGUCAAGAGAGGGCAAGAACAGAGCAGGGCAGGACUCCAUGUCUGCUGGUGUCCACGAGACACAUUUGGCAAGCACUCCCAAAUCCAAACUUUCACAGAGCAUCAGAAAUCACUGGAAGCCAUGGGUUCCUUCUGAGUUCUCUCUCUUUGCUGAUACUGUUCGCAACCUCCAAGAGCCAGCUAGACCAGAGACUUUGGAAUCCUCUUCAAUCCCCCUUCCUCAUCCACUCACACAUGGUACACAGUACUUUAAAAGGAAGAAAAAUUUAUAAGACCUUUGACUGACAACCUACAAAAGCAAAAGCUGAGUAAGGAUACCAACACUUGAAUCCAAGGAUAAUGGAAAAAUAACAUCUGACUGGAAUAAAUGGAUCACAUAUAUAAGCCAUGCUACCAUGCUACUUAUGUGAACUGAAAUACGGAUAAGGAAGCAUAUCUGGUUCUAAUUUCUGAACUCAACACCAGAUGUUUUCAAGAUGGUGAGACUCUAAAGAAUGGAACUUACAAGGAACGGCCCUGCUCUGUGGGUGGAGAAAGGGAAGAAAUGACAUAAAAAAGACAACCUUACUGUAUGCCAAAGAAGCAUUCCCAACUACCUGGAAUAAUCUGCAUAAGUCAAGAUGAAUUUCCCCAUAUACAUCAAAAAGAGUGACAAGCACUUCUGUUUAUCAGCUCGCCUGUGGGGACUGCCACAUGGUAACAGCAUAAAGAGAAUUCAUAAAUUACUUUAUCCUCAUACUUUGAAAAUAUGUAAUUCCUGAUAAAUGUUAAACAUUUUGAGAGAUGUACAUUAUUUUGAAAUCUUUGCAUAAAAGGACACUUAACACUAAUGAAUCUAUCUUCAGGGCAGCAGUGGAGAUGCAGACAUAGAGAACACGUUUGGACACAGUGAGGGAGGGAGAAGGUGGAAUUAUUUGAGAGGGUAAACAUAUGCAUUGCUGCUACUGCUAAGUCACUUCAGUCAUGUCCAACUCUGUGCGACCCCAUAGACGGCAGCCCACCAGGCUCCCCUGUCCCUGGGAUGCUCCAGGCAAGAACACUGGAGUGGGUUGCCAUUUCCUUCUCCAAUGCAUGAAAGUGAAAAGUGAAAGUGAAGUCGCUCAGUCAUGUCUGACUCCUAGCGACCCCAUGGACUGCAGCCCAUCAGGCCCCUCCGUCCAUGGGAUUUUCCAGGCAAGAGUACUGGAGUGGAGUGCCAUUGCCUUAUGCAUUACCAUAUGUAAAACAGAUAGCUGGUGGGAAUUUGCUGUAUAACACAGGGAACUCAAAGCCAGUGCUUUGUGACAAC
Molecule: long non-coding RNA, 1660 nt
Organism: Bos taurus (domestic cattle)
Lineage: Eukaryota; Metazoa; Chordata; Mammalia; Artiodactyla; Bovidae
Source: Ensembl